RNAcentral lists this long non-coding RNA (1186 nucleotides) under Homo sapiens (human). Its description in RNAcentral is "HSALNT0066050". Lineage: Eukaryota; Metazoa; Chordata; Mammalia; Primates; Hominidae. The record is from RNAcentral.
CUUGAAAGACGUCUCAUACUCAAGUGGUCUCUCCUCUUCCCAUACACACCUUACGGAUUCUUCACAGGGUGUGAUGAUGGGAAGCCUAGACACGCUUAUCAGAAGUUUGUCCUCUUAUCGGGAUACGUCAGAAAUUAGAGAGACCCUGGCAAUCACAGCUUCCACCUCCUCAUUUUACAAAUGAGCAACUAGGCUCAGAGUACAGAAGUGGCUUUCCCAGGGUCACACAGCCAGCUUGUGACAGAGUCAGGAUUCAAGUACCAUCUCCUGACUUCUCCAUUGCACCAGACGUCGAUAGAACACAGAGAACCUAAAAGAAGAAAGAAAAAAAAAUAGAGCUUUUGGGAAUAUAUUGGGCUUCUGGUUUUCAAGGACAAUUUUAUGAUAAGUAGCAAUGAUGCCUCAAAAGCUCUGGUAGCUAGCUUGAAUGAACUUAUGUAAUAAACAUUUAUCACAGAACAUGUGUCAUCAAACACCUGCCAGUUCUGAGCGUUGGCACCAAAGCUGCUUUCAUUGUCAAAGAAAAGAGGGGGAAAGGAACUUGGCUGAACAAAGCUGGCAGACGUUUAUACUAGAAAAUUUAGAGAUGUCAGGAGCAAGGGAGCACCAGUGGUAGAAGAACCUGCCUCCCCUGGCUCCAUCAAAGGCCACAGGCCCAUGAGAAUCACCCGGCCUGCUCUGAGCAGCACACUCGGAGGCCACAGCCACGCACAGGAAAGUGAGAGGAAGUGGAAACGUGCGAGCAGAGGGCUCAAAGCGACGGGCUCACCACCGGAAAAAAAAAAUAAAAAUAAACACGCUCAGAAAUAGUGUAACUGAUAUGCAAAGAAGAUCAAAACAAGGGUUUUAAAAUAUCUUGGCUGCUUUAGAGGAGAUGGGGGUGGUAAUUAAAGCGAGGUUGCAAAUGCGUGUUAGGGGAGUGGGGCGGUUAGGUGGAUGGUUCACUGAAGCCUGCCAGGACAUGGGAGCCUGGGAGCCCAAGGGUAUUUCAGAUGAAAAUGUGGCACUUAUAUGUGGAAUGUAAAAGAAAGUUGAACUCAUAGAAGCAGAGAAUAAAAUGGUUAUUCUCAGAGGCUGCCAGGUGGUGGGACUGGGGAGAUGUUGGUCAAAGGACACAUUUUAAUAAAUUCAAGAGAUUCAUUGCCCAUCACGGUGACUAUAGUUAACAUCAAUACAUUUUAUAUUG